AUUGAACGCUGGCGGCAUGCUUUACACAUGCAAGUCGAACGGCAGCGCGGGCUUCGGCCUGGCGGCGAGUGGCGCACGGGUGAGUAAUGCAUCGGAACGUGCCCAGUAGUGGGGGAUAGCCCGGCGAAAGCCGGAUUAAUACCGCAUACGACCUGAGGGUGAAAGCGGGGGACCGAAAGGCCUCGCGCUAUUGGAGCGGCCGAUGUCGGAUUAGCUAGUUGGUGGGGUAAAGGCUUACCAAGGCGACGAUCCGUAGCUGGUCUGAGAGGACGACCAGCCACACUGGGACUGAGACACGGCCCAGACUCCUACGGGAGGCAGCAGUGGGGAAUGUUGGACAAUGGGGGCAACCCUGAUCCAGCCAUGCCGCGUGCGGGAAGAAGGCCUUCGGGUUGUAAACCGCUUUUGUUCGGGAAGAAAUCCUCUGGGCUAAUACCCCGGGGGGAUGACGGUACCGGAAGAAUAAGCACCGGCUAACUACGUG
This 484-nucleotide ribosomal RNA is filed under the name uncultured bacterium. Its description in RNAcentral is "partial 16S ribosomal RNA". It matches the Rfam family "Bacterial small subunit ribosomal RNA", at positions 28 to 507 of the family's 1533-position model. The record is from RNAcentral.